UACGGGAGGCAGCAGUGGGGAAUAUUGCACAAUGGGCGCAAGCCUGAUGCAGCCAUGCCGCGUGUAUGAAAAAGGCCUUCGGGUUGUAAAGUACUUUCAGUCGUGAGGAGGUGUUAAGGUUAAUAACCUUAGCAAUUGACGUUAGCGACAGAAGAAGCACCGGCUAACUCCGUGCCAGCAGCCGCGGUAAUACGGAGGGUGCGAGCGUUAAUCGGAAUUACUGGGCGUAAAGGGCACGCAGGCGGUUAAUUAAGUUGGAUGUGAAUCCCCGGGCUUAACCUGGGAAUGGCAUUCAAGCUGGUUAGCUAGAGUCUUGUAGAGGGGGUAGAAUUCCAUGUGUAGCGGUGAAAUGCGUAGAGAUGUGGAGGAAUACCGGUGGCGAAGGCGGCCCCUGGACAAAGACUGACGCUCAUGUGCGAAAGCGUGGGGAGCAAACAGGGAUUAGAUACC
Molecule: ribosomal RNA, 450 nt
Filed under: uncultured bacterium
Lineage: Bacteria
Description: bacterial SSU rRNA
Rfam family: Bacterial small subunit ribosomal RNA
Source: RNAcentral